This 418-nucleotide ribosomal RNA is filed under the name uncultured Glomeromycotina. RNAcentral describes it as "SSU rRNA". It matches the Rfam family "Eukaryotic small subunit ribosomal RNA", at positions 673 to 1092 of the family's 1831-position model. Lineage: Eukaryota; Fungi; Glomeromycota. The record is from RNAcentral.
GUACGUACUGGCAUUGUUGGUUUCUCCCUUCUGACGAACCAUGAUGUCAUUUAUUUGGUGUUGUGGGGAAUCAGGACUGUUACUUUGAAAAAAUUAGAGUGUUUAAAGCAGGCUCACGCUUGAAUACAUUAGCAUGGAAUAAUGAAAUAGGACGUUUGAUUCUAUUUUGUUGGUUUCUAGGAUCGACGUAAUGAUUAAUAGGGAUAGUUGGGGGCAUUAGUAUUCAAUUGUCAGAGGUGAAAUUCUUGGAUUUAUUGAAGACUAACUACUGCGAAAGCAUUUGCCAAGGAUGUUUUCAUUAAUCAAGAGCGAAAGUUAGGGGAUCGAAGACGAUCAGAUACCGUCGUAGUCUUAACCAUAAACUAUGCCGACUAGGGAUCGGAUGAUGUUAAUUUAAUGACUCAUUCGGCGCCUUACG